RNAcentral lists this ribosomal RNA (589 nucleotides) under uncultured bacterium. RNAcentral describes it as "bacterial SSU rRNA". It matches the Rfam family "Bacterial small subunit ribosomal RNA", at positions 229 to 835 of the family's 1533-position model. The record is from RNAcentral.
GCCCGCGGAAGAUUAGGUAGUUGGUGGGGUAAAGGCCUACCAAGCCGACGAUCUAUAGCUGGUCUGAGAGGACGAACAGCCACAUUGGAACUGAGACACGGUCCAGACUCCUACGGGAGGCAGCAGUGAGGAAUAUUGGGCAAUGGAGGAAACUCUGACCCAGCCAUGCCGCGUGAGUGAAGAAGGUUUUCGAAUUGUAAAGCUCUUUCGGAUGUGAAGAUGAUGACGGUAACAUCUAAAGAAGCCCCGGCAAACUUCGUGCCAGCAGCCGCGGUAAUACGAAGGGGGCAAGCGUUGUUCGGAAUUACUGGGCGUAAAGGGUGUGUAGGCGGGAAAGUAAGAUAGUGGUGAAAUGCCUGAGCUCAACUUGGGAACUGCCAUUAUAACUAUUUUUCUAGAGUGACAGAGAGGAUAUUGGAAUACCCAGUGUAGAGGUGAAAUUCGUAGAUAUUGGGUAGAACACCGGAGGCGAAGGCGAGUAUCUGGCUGUCAACUGACGCUGAGGCACGAAAGCAUGGGGAUCAAACAGGAUUAGAUACCCUGGUAGUCCAUGCUGUAAACGAUGAAUGCUAGUUGUCGGCGAAUGUCG